UACGGGGGGAGCGAACGUUGUUCGGAAUCACUGGGCGUAAAGGGCAUGCAGGCGGUCGUACGCGUUUCGGGUGACAGCGGGUGGCUUAACUACCCGAGUGUUCGAAAGACGGUACGACUUGAGGGCUCGAGAGGGACACGGAAUUCCGGGUGGAGUGGUGAAAUGCGUAGAGAUCCGGAGGAACACCGAAGGCGAAGGCAGUGUCCUGGCGAGUGACUGACGCUGAGGUGCGAAAGCUAGGGGAGCGAACGGG
RNAcentral lists this ribosomal RNA (253 nucleotides) under uncultured bacterium. RNAcentral describes it as "partial 16S ribosomal RNA". It matches the Rfam family "Bacterial small subunit ribosomal RNA", at positions 524 to 776 of the family's 1533-position model. The record is from RNAcentral.